Bos indicus x Bos taurus (hybrid cattle) is the source of this 307-nucleotide long non-coding RNA. The record is from Ensembl. Lineage: Eukaryota; Metazoa; Chordata; Mammalia; Artiodactyla; Bovidae.
GUCUGACAAGAACUCUCAUCUCUGGAACUCGCCUAGGUCCUCCGGGAUGCACCAGCCCAGACCUGGCGCUUCAGGUUGGCACCGCUCAGAGUUCUGAUCCCUGCUGACCUUUGCAUCUUGACCUCAAGUCUCACGGCAAACACUGCUGGUCUCAAUGGCUUAUAUGGAUACAGCCAUGCCAAAGUAAAUGAUCCAUAGUUCAACAAAUGGGAACAUCUCCAACUAUGGCUUUGAUCUCAUCUACACAGAUAUAGAGGGAGUUAAAGGAUCUGCGUAUUACUGGAUGAUAACAAAUAUUGAGCACCAA